Molecule: long non-coding RNA, 452 nt
Filed under: Capsicum annuum
Lineage: Eukaryota; Viridiplantae; Streptophyta; Magnoliopsida; Solanales; Solanaceae
Description: long non-coding RNA (CANN_LNC007757)
Source: RNAcentral
GACAAGGAAGUGUGUCUCCGAGGGAUAUAGGAUGAUGAAUUAUUAUUAUGAUUUUAUUAUCAAAGUCGUGCAACAAAAUUUCUUCAUUCAUUUGUAAAAGUAAGGCAUUGUAGUUCAUGAUAUUUAUGCUCUGAAGUUCUUGAUUGGAAGGUAACAUGUUUUCUAUUUUAUCAAAGAAAACUUGUGAGUUUAAAACAUGGUGGCUGGUUUGUGGCUUUAUCUUUCGUGGCAAUCUCGUUUGCCCUCGUCACAUUUAAUCUUGCUUUCAACCAUUAGCAUAUGUCAUUGACUUGCUGUAUCAUUGACCUAAACUCAGAUCAUUAAGAGUGACUCUAACACAAACACAAUAUCUCUAUUGUUGCUAUUUUCCUUGGACACAUCCUUUGAACCUUGGUAUUUCCGUGAAUUCCCAAACUUAUUUGUUGACAGAACUUUCUGCAUGCUUUAUUUUG